Rattus norvegicus (Norway rat) is the source of this 5504-nucleotide non-coding RNA. NCBI's taxonomy places the organism in Eukaryota, Metazoa, Chordata, Mammalia, Rodentia, Muridae. The record is from RefSeq and is a predicted model, not a curated record.
GGCCCUGGGACCACUUGAAAAGCCAGCUAAUUGGCUGCAUCUGCCCUCGACUUCUUAUCCUGACAGGCAGACACACAGAGCAGUGACCUGAGAGCUGGGAGGCAGCUGCCUUCUCCACAUAAAAUGAGAAGAAGUUCGUGGCUCUACUUUGUCCAACUGCUCAAUUCUGCAUCGAAGGAACGUAAGUUUACCUAAACGGAUGGUUUGCUAUGGUCUGAAUGUUUGUGUCCUUCCCAGAUCCAGGCCAGCAUCUAAUCUCCAGGACAGUGGUAAGAAGUGGGGCCUUUGGGAGGAGGGUGGGUCAGGAGGCUGCUCUUAUCUGUGUGACUAGAGCUUUAUAAAGAGGCUGGCAGGAGCUUCUUAGCGUCUUCUGGAUCUUCUAUCACUUGAAGCUGCAGUGAGAAGGCGCUGUCUAUCAGGAACUGGCCUUCAGUAGACACCUUAUUUUUUGGUGUAUUGGUCUUAGAUUAUCUGGCCUCCAGAGCAGUGUGAGAGUAAAGUUUGUUGAUUACAGAUAACCCAGUAUGAGGAGUUUUGCUGUAGCAGCUGAAGUGGACCCCCAAAUGUAGUCUCAACACAUUAAUUGAUAACUUGCUUGAACCAAUGCUUUUUUUAAAAAAAUUAGGUUCCAAGUAAGAUUUUAAAAAAUGUUCUAGUUUUUUUCAGUGCGUGUGUGUGUGUGUUGUGUGUGUGUUUGUGUAUGUGUGUAUAUGUGUGUGUGGUAUGUGUGUGUUUGUGUAUGUGUGUGUGUGUGGUAUAUGUGUGUGUGAUGUGUGUGUGUGGUAUAUGUGUGUGUAUGUGUGUGUAUGUAUGUGAUGUGUGCGUGUAUGUGUGUGGUGUGUGGUGUGUGUGUGUAGUAUAUGUGUGUGGUAUGUGUGUGUGUUUGUGUAUGUGUGUGUGGUGUGUGUGUGGUAUAUGUGUGUGGUGUGUGUGUUUGUGUAUGUGUGUGUGGUGUGUGUGGCGUGUGUGUGUGUGUGGUAUAUGUGUGUGUGGUGUGUGUGUUUGUGUAUGUGUGUGUGGUGUGUGUGUGUGGUAUAUGUGUGUGUAUGUGUGUGGUAUGUGUGUGUAUGUGUGUGUAUAUGUAUGUGAUGUGUGUGUGUAUGUGUGUGGUGUGUGGUAUGUGUGUGGUAUAUGUGUGUGGUGUGUGUGUGUGUGUGUGUGUGUGUGUGUGUGUGUGUGUGUGUGUAUGUUAUAUGUAUGUCUGGUGUGGAGUAUAUGCAUGUACAGGUACCUUUGGGUAGAGCUUAGAAGAGGUUGUCUGGUGCUGAAGUUGUAGGCAAUUGUGAGCCACCUGAUAUGGAUGCCAAGGACUGAACUCGGGACUUUCUGCAAGAGCAGUUUGUAUACCUAACUGCUGAACUGUCUCUAAGCCUUCCAGGUGGAAUUUUGAUGUAGCACCUCAAUCUGAGAACAUGCUCUGAACUCUUCCUGAGUUUGAUGUUUAGGGGCCUGACUUCCACUAAGGUCAGACUAUAAGCAUUGUUUGACUGAAACCUACAGGAUCCAGGAGAUGUUUCUGGUGAGACAUUUGGUCACCCCACAAAUGUCUCCAAAAUUAAACUAUGAUAGUUUAGAUUUACACUGUCCACAAAGAUUUAUGUAAUUGAUGCUUGGCCCUCAAUGGGCUAUGUUGUAGUGAUGAAACCUUUAGGAAGUGGGUGUGGGCUUGGUGGUACAUGGCUAUAAUUCCUGCAUGUGCAAGCUUGGUGCCGGCCUGUUGAGGUUCGGUCUUAAGUGCUAAGUGUGGGGUCCCCAAGACCUGGUUGCCCCAGAGAAUCUGAAUGUAGACCCAAGUGAGCUAUGUGAUUCCCCCCACCCAAGUUAUUUCUGAUUGGUGAAUAAAGAUGCUGACAGCCAAUAGCUGGGCAGAAGAGACAUAGUUUGAGGAGAACCGUGAGGGAGAGAAGGUGAAGAAGAAGAUAGAGAGGCCAUGGGUUAGGAGUCAAGAAAACAUGGCCCUGAGGGCUGGCCAAUUGGAGUUAAGAGCAGCCCAGAUGAAACAUAAUAAGUAAUAGUCGAUAGGAAAUAGAUUUUCAUAGCAUAGAGGGUAGAUAUCUGCCGAGCUCUUGUGCUGUUUAAGGUUUGUUGUAAAUAUAAAGUGUGUGUGUGUGUGUGUGUGUGUGUGUGUGUGUGUGUGUGUGUGUUAUUCAGGAACUAAAUGGUCAAAGGCACAAAGGCAGGGAUUAAAAAUUUCUACAAGACCAGCCUGUCCUACGUAGGAAGGAAGUCUGCCUCAAAAUAUCAGAACUAAAAAGGAAAAAAAGAAGUGUAGAAGUGUUCCAGGGGCAAAGCAGGUAGGGGGUGGUGAUCACGGAACAAUUAACACAGCUCAUGGGACUUAGGACCAGGAAAUGCAGGCUGCUAUAAGAACAAGUCCAGCCUCUCCUGCUCGGUGUCCUGUCAUUGUGAUGCCAUCUGCCCAAAGGCAGCAGAGCCAAAGUGAAGCUGAAACCAUACCCUCGGAUUUUCAGAACUGAGAGCUAAAAACAAACAAACAAACAAACAAACAAACAACAACAACAACAAAACAAAACAAAAAAAACCCCAACAAAACCAACUUUUUUUGUCUUUACAAAUUAAACCAGCCAUGGGGUAUUUUGCUAGAGUAACUGCAGGAGAUGCAUAGGUGAAUAUAUAAACAAAUAAAAAGUGGAUGGGCAAAUACCUAGCCCCAACCUGCCUCUCAGGUUUCCUGAGACCCACACUCGGGCUUCAGGUUCCCCAUUUCUUCUUCAGGCCGGUGGUGUAGCUGAGGUCUCUCUGUGUGCUGUGAGAUCUCUCCGUGGGUUUUUUUGUUCUGUUUUGUGUUGGUUUGCUUUGUUUUUCCGAAUAGGAACCUAUUAAAAAACAUUGAAAACUCCAUGGAGCAGCUAACCGUGGAGUGCUAAAGGCCUUCAAUCCGCUCGGGGCUCUGGGGUGUGCACCAUCUGGAGCUGUGUCUUCAAGUCGGCAGCUCUGUCUGCCUGCUGUCUUGAGUCUUCUAUGUGGCCCCCUCCUAAUGACUGGGCCAUGCCAAGCUGCAUGUUGAAAUGCUAUCCUGCAAUGCUGGCACCACCUCCCAUUCAUUCACACAGCAUGCCUCAGCCAGCCAGAACCGGGAUAUUUGGUCCAUUCCCUUGGUCAUCUUGGGAGUUGAUGCUGGCCACUGGCUGGUGCUAGGAGAGGAAGCAGAACUGGCUCCAUCUUGAGGGGCACAUAAGACGAUGGAGUUUGCACCACUUUUGAGCUAUUUAAAGGAAAAGGAGAGUGAUUUCUGAAGAGGCAGAAUGCUCAUCAGGAUCAAGGGGUUCGAGACUCCUGAGAACACAGACCUCACUGCAAGUACCUGGGCCAGUAUGUCUACUUUGACAUGUAUAGACUUGCUGGGGUUGAUAAUUCCACGUAGGCUGCCUUUACAAUUAAGAACUGUGCUAAGAUGUGAGCUUUUCGUGUCCUCUUCCUGGGAGAUAGAUAGGUAGGUAGGUAGACAGAUAGACAGACUGACCAACCAAUAGAUAGUCUUGCAUGCUACCUUGACCUAGUGACCAGUCUCUGUCAGUCCUCCAUUGUCUGUCUCAGUGCAAGGACAUGCAACAGUCAGGCAUACCUUGUAAUAUUGAACCAUUCUUCUCAGUGCAUUCCCUUCCUGCCCCAUUUGCCUCAGAGAAAGACUAAAUGCAUCACAUCUGCCUGACAGGUACUUUCUGUCAUUUUGUCUCCGGAUCUGAGGACCAAACCCAGGGCCUCAUGCUUGCUAGGCAAGCGCUCUACCACUGAGCUAAAUCCCCAACCCUGACAGGUACUUUCUGCAGUCUACUAACAACCAGGGCCCUGGGUGCUAACUGCCUUGAGUGAGUCUUGGUUAGGGCCUUGGGUGAUCCUGUAAGGGCCCCUGGAGGAGGAGGAGCCCUUCUGAAUUAUUUCCUUAGAGGAAGAGUCAGGGCCUUUUCACUACUGUCCCGUCCUUCACCAUGGGUUUGGCUGAGGAAGGUUGACACUGCUGUGUCCAGUAAAGACUGUUCCUAGAGGAAUUCGACUGUAAGCCAUCAAACAAGAAACACAUCUGGAAGAUGGAGAAAAGAGCGAAUAUCUCCAUUCUGGAGAUAAAUCUGGGUUGCACAUAACAGUUUCCACCCUAGAGGGUCUGUUUCUCAUUCUCUUCUUGUGACAGUGCUACAGAGAACACCCUAGUUCUCCUCCCUUUGUUCAUGUACACAAUGCCCCUGCUUUGUAUACCAUGCAGUGUAUGUAGAACAUGGCUAUGUGUGCACAGCAGGUUGGGGUGAGCAAGGGAGAGCUUGGAUCCCAGAGUAUGCCACUAGUGUUGGGCUUCUCCCUUCCCCACUGUUCCUGAGUGCUAGGAAGACCAGUCACCUCAUCCCACCUGAGAGGGUUUGGACUCUAUUUGGGUGUCUGUGCCCGGGAUGUGCCGUAGGUGGGGCAUGUGCUUCAUCAGUUCUCUUCUUUAAAACUGGAAGGAGAGGGUGCUGACACCUUCCAGAAUUUCACACUGCUGUCAGACACUGUGAGGAAGCAUCCAAUCCCACUGCUUCUUGUUUGCCAGCUGAGCAUCUUUUCUCAACCUCCCUCAUCAUUUGCCUCCCUCCUCCCCCAUGUCUUUCUGACCCAUGAAUUUUAUACUGUCAAGUUGUCUAUCCUUGACUUGUGGGACACACUCAUUGCUUUGCACCCUGCACUGUGCCUGCUGUUAUGGUCAUGGUUCUCCCUGUCCACUCACCAAACAAAGCCUUUGCAUGUUUAGUUCUAGAUAGGUACAUUCGAUAGACAGUGUUCAAGUCACAUGCCAGCACCUAGCUGUAAGGGAGUCCAAAAUGAGUUCCCAGCCCUCUUAGCAUUUGUAGUGGGAGAUGAGUUAACUUUUCCCUAAGUUGUUUGAUCUGAGGUGUUCCUUGGAAGGGUAUCAGAUUUGGUACUCUCUUCUCCAAAAAGCAGUAACUAUCUAUCUUGGUGCUAAGAGCUCUGCCCUACACAGUUAUGGGGGGUUGUAAAGACCCAGAAUAUACAAUGACACCUGCCAGGUGCUUAAGAUGAAAAGUUACACCCGUCUCCUUCUAGGCUUUCCUGGGUCAGGCGUCCACAGUAUGGAUGGCAAACUCGGUGUAUUUGCAUUUGAAGCCAAGCACAUUGGGCACUGUGGUCAGAGUACUAAUGCUGUAGGGGCAUUUCUUCCUACAGCGUUUUCCCCCUUGCUCUUCGGUAGCACACGCAUCUACCAUGUAGGAGCGCUGGUGAUGCCAGAAGCCUCCUGUUAGGUCAAGACUACUAUACUUAUGACUAGUCCAAGAAUAUACUUAUGACUAGUCCUGGACAUAAAUAUAUUCUGUCUCCUGUGAGCGUAAGCCAUGCAGAUAUUCCCAGAGCCUGGUGGGUCAAGGGUGUGUAAGAAAGAUGGUUUUGGGUCCUGCUAAGCCAAGGAUUAAACAACUUGGAGAGCUCACUUAGGGCAGUGUGCUGACCUGUUGGGGAGUAACUGAGGCAGGCACCCCUUGGUAAUCCUAUCUAGA